GGGCGCUUGGCACAGGGGUAGCGCGCACGCUUCGCAUCUUCCGAUUGCGUGAGGUCGUGGGUUCAAAUCCCACAGUGUCCA
Schizophyllum commune H4-8 is the source of this 81-nucleotide non-coding RNA. NCBI's taxonomy places the organism in Eukaryota, Fungi, Basidiomycota, Agaricomycetes, Agaricales, Schizophyllaceae. The record is from Rfam.